GCGCCGCGCACAGCAGCAGGGAGCAGAGGUGGGGAGCUGGACCCGCGCAGAACACAGAAAAACGCCGCACAGUUGUGCCAAGGACAAACCCUGGGUACCCUCGCCCGGGACUGGAGCGCAGGGCGCUGGUGCUCCUCUAACUGGGCGGACGCUGUGCUCCCGCGAGAAGAUUCAAAGUGAUUAAGCAGGAUUGUAAGCACUAUAUGCAACAUUUUGCUGAGAUUUUUCUCUUUCGGUGAUCAUCCAAAUGGAUAUUGAGACUGUUUAUAAAAUUAUCAGGGCCAGAGACUGCAAAAUCUAAGAUCUUCGCUGCCCAUGGAGACCCUGGGGCAAGAAUACAUGAGAAAAAUAGAAGAGGUGUUUCCAAAAUCUGCACUUCGGUGAGCACAGUGAUUGUGAUAGGUGCAAAUAAACAACUUUAGAUCUCUCCCAAGGCUACAAUCAAGAUGGUGGCUAAGACUAAGGUCUCCUCUGAGGCUCUCCUGGGGCAGGAUCUCUUCUAAGCUUGGAUGGCUGUGAGCGGGAUUUGGUUCCUUGUGAGUUAUUGGACUGAGAGCCUAGCUUCUUGCUUGCUGUUGCCUCGAAGAUCCCCCCCGCCCUUCUCUUCUUAUAUGGCUCUCCCUACAAGGAAGCUUACUUCAUCAAAGGCAGCAAGAGAGAGAGUCUAAUAGCAAGACAGAAGUUACAGUUUUAUAUUACAUAAUCUUGAAGGAGACUUCCUAUCACCUUUGCCUUCCUCUAUUGGUAAGGAAUAAUCCACAUGGUGCCCACACAAAAGCUUGAAUGCUAGGAUUGAGGGAAAAUUAGGGGACACCUUUGAGUCUGUCUUAUGACAAACUCCAUGUGAUUCUGAUAGUCAUUUGGGUUUGAAAACACUCACCCAGGGACUUUAGGGAAUACAUACAAAAAAUGGCAAGGAUGAAACUUCAAGGACAGAUCUCAAAAACUUUGGAAAAGAAAUAUCUACAAGAACAGGUGAUUAUAGAGGUAUUGGUUUUGUUAGGGAGGGGAUAGCUUGAUUAUCAAGCCUUGACCUUGGGGAUUGAGUAUAUAAUGAUGGCUUUAGCCAAAAUAGUAAGUCAAAAAAGAAACCCAUUUUGAAAGAAUGACAAUGGAGUUAGUUUUAGAUCUGUUAGAGUUGAUGUACAUAUAGGGUAUAUUAUGAAAAAGUAUUUACAACUGUGAAAUAUGGCCAAAAAAAAAAAAAAAGAAAGAAAGAAAAAAAAGUGAAUACCAUGUGUUUUCAGAGAUAUGGAGUAGCAUUGUUUAGCAGAUCCUCUAAAGGUUUAUUUUAUUAUCUCGGAAAAUGCUCUUUGUUCAACUCACUCUUACAACUGAUUAAAGUUCCCAGACUUAGUGAGGUUACACGUUAACUUAUAUAUUUUUGACCAAUAGAGUUGCAAAUGAUUUUCUGGUAUAAGAGAUAACCCGAAGUUUGCAGUUUAUUUUGUUGUAGGACAUUAAGCACUUUGAUAACUAAAUUAACAUUCUUAUGUUAAUACUUCUUCAUCAAGUUGACUAUAAAUAACUACAUCCUCAAAUGCUUUCUGAAUCACACCUAUCAUCUCACUGUUUCUGUCAUCUUAUAAUAAGUUGAAUAAAAUAUUUGACACGUGCUCACUUCGGCAGCACAUAUACUAAAAUAUUUGACACGUGUUGUUUAUAUCUAUGUGAGUCAUAACACUGUACUAACCAACCAAGAGGUUUCUCACGCUCUCUCCCUCCCUCCCCUUCUCUCCUUCUGAAAUUAUUUUAACUUGCAAUCAAACUUUACCUUUGCUGACUCUCUGAUUCACUAGGUUUUAUUAUUUAUAAUGAUUUCCUGUUCAUUUCUGGUUCUUAUCUGGAACUUGGUGAUUUGUUAGAUCACCAAGUUAAAUUCUUGUUCCAGUUUGUACAUAGCAAGAGUUGUUCCUCAAAAAAAUGGCAACAAUGACCAGAAAACUGUUUUUAUGAUCUGGCCAUUUGACGACCCCUCCAAAGAUGGUAAAGGAUCUAUUCUCUGUUGCAGUGAUAAGUGACAGGGAAUUCACUUUCUUAUUAUUUUGUGAUCAUUUCUCUAUUUCUGUACACAAAUCAAUUAAGGGAAUCAUUCUGUGCCCACUAGAGUGGAAACCAUCUUUUUGAGGUCUGGAAUAGUGAAUUUUUCUGUUUCAGUGUUUUCUUUAUCCUAGCUGAGUUUAUGGAAAUGAGGUUGCAAGCUGUGUGCCCGCAUAUCUGUAAUAAAGCAAAGCCUUUUUCUUUUGUAUGAGUGUAAAAUAUUUCCUAUUCCCAUUAGGUACUAAUUAAUUAGAUUUUGAAGUUCCUCUGAUUAAGGGAGCUUUGUUGUAACUGGUUUGUAGAGGCUAAUAAGACUAAUAUAAAUCUCAUAUUUCCCCGUGUUUGUACAAAAUAAGGAAGGUGAACUCAUAUUCAUGGAAUUCAUAUUUCCACAUGCUAAGCUUUUAAGAAAAAAUUUCCUUUUCACUGAGAGAGUGAAGUUAUAUUUUUAAGUAAGACUCCAGGUUCAUGUGAUUACAGUAAAUCCUGAUACAUAUUGGAUCACUUAAAUAAAUUUUAUUUAAAAGCA
Molecule: long non-coding RNA, 2569 nt
Organism: Neogale vison (American mink)
Lineage: Eukaryota; Metazoa; Chordata; Mammalia; Carnivora; Mustelidae
Exons: 5
Source: RefSeq, a predicted model, not a curated record